UGCAGGGAAUUCUUAGAGGCCUGUCUUCAGUGUGUCUGCUCAGGGUUAACAGUGAGUGCCGCUCGACCCGCGCCUCUUAUGUUCAACCGCCUCCACCUCCGCCUCGCAUACCGGACUACUUUGUUUUUGACAGGGAGGGAGGGCAGUGUAGUGAUCGUAUAGAACCCGACUUAUCCAUCCCACCGUGAUAGGAGAAGCAGCAGGGCAGUGAGGCAUCUGUCAGGCAUGUCUGGCGGAGUGAGGUGUUGUGAGUGACGCCCCACCAAGGUAGUCUCCACGCGGCAAGCAAGAUAAGACUAUACCCUUCCUCUCCCUAAGUCACCAUGGCAGAGCAAGAAGCGGAAUCCCUGCCUGAUUUGGGGGAAUUGUCGGCAGAGGGCAGCGUGAGGGCGGAGCCAAUCGUCGCCGUGUCCCAAGAUCCAGGGAACCAAUCACUGGACAGGAAAGAUGGCGGCAGUCACGCUGAGGCUUCCUUCGAAUCAGAAAUAUGCAGGAAACCACGACACACGAACUAAGAAUACUCCCACCAAAGUGCGCAGUUCGUCCCAGGGUUGAGGAGCGCAGCCUCGCCCUGUGGGGGAAAUAGUACUACCUGGAUGGAGGCAAAAUGCGAGUCUAAUUUCCAUACCUGUACGACCUGCCGGCACACCUGAGUCUGGGCGGCGGCUGGACUCACCUGCCCUGCCCUGCCCUGCCCUGUUCUCCUCUGCUCUCCUGUGCCCGCCCGCCCGCCUGCCUGCCUGUCUGGCUUACCGCGAGAAAUAGACCCGGUCGUCGUGGUGGACAUUUACGUGUUGUCUCGGAAUGUUCUGUCGCGCUGGGAGAGUGUUGUGGGUGCUCAGGUGGUGCCCGAUUAAUUUUACCUUAGGAAGUUUUCGUGCGGUGUCAUUCUUACGUUAAGGUGAUAUAUCUGUUACUUGAUUGAAACAUGGUAAUCAGGACUGUUUUACGCAAAUUUAGUAUCUUCUUAGAGAAUUUUUGGCCUGUAAUUAACUUUUCUUAUGUGUUACUAAGCGAGAACUGUGUAAAACUCGGUAUUUUUUUUACGUUUUCUGGUCCAUAAUUAACAUAUCUCAGGUGUUGCUAGGACAUGGAUCACUGUAACGUUGUCAUUUUCUUGUUUGUUCAUUAGAGGAGAGACGCUUCAUAGUGCUAAUCUGUAGACACUUUUGUCGCAUGUUGUUGCACUGCCAGCCACAGAAGUCACUUACAUCACCACAGCGCUGAUGCGAUCUACCUUCGUAAACAAAAUCAUAGGCAUUUGUGUGUUUGCAUGCGGCGUGUGGGAAGCAGGAUGAGGUCACUGCCUGCACUCGUGUGUAAGGGAGCACCACGUCACUGAGGGAGUUGCAUCAUCCCACUCCCUCUCUUGCUUUCUCUAGGUAGCCGUGGUGGUGGUGAUGUUAGUGCGUCCUCCUCGACACUGCCAGAGUCAGUGUGGAGGCUGUAUACACGCACUUCCUUCCUCCUCCGUUAUGUCUUGUAUACACUUUAUGGCUUGUCUGGGUGUUACUUAUAGCUCGUCCAGGGGCGGUGUGUCUGGGUUAACACUGUCUCGUAUUUUAACCACGUGUUGGGCUGUCUCCCCCGCCCUUUAUCCACCACUUACCCGCUGCGGGAGGGCUUACGAACUCGACUCAGAAACGCCCACAACAAAAACAGCUUCCACACCCACACAACAAUACCCACGCCCACAAUAACAGCACCUAGUCCUCCCCACCCGCCCCACCUCCUCCUCCUCCUCCUCCCCCUCCCAGAAUGCAACCCAAGCCGGGUAGGUAAAUCAUGCCAAGAAGGGCGGCCCCGUUUAUCUCCUUAGAUGCAUAUUUUUUCGGGGAUCAUCCACCAUGGAAUGUUGUGUAGAGGCGAGAAUACGUGGUAGGGGAGGGAAGGAAGGCGGCGCAGCAUGGUUGUGUUGUGGAAAGCAGCUCUAGUGUUGCUAGUGAAAGAAGUAGGUUGGAAUUGUAAUGAUGAAAGUAGUAGUAAUAAUACUAGUGGUGAUAAUGAAGAAUGGUCGUAAUUGUUAUUAAUGUUUCACCUUGCUACAAAAGUGGAAAUCAUGGAUAAACUACCUAGUCGUAAUAGCAAAUGGACGCUAACGUAGCCUGACUUCAGUGUCGGUUAGUGACAUCAAACCAGAGAUACAGAAGAAGAACUCAAAUAGUCAUAAACCAAGACAGAGAGACAAGGUCAGAAACAUAAAGCAAGACAGAAGAAGGUCAGAAAGUUAAAUAACAUGGAGAGAAACAGGCGAAAAGCCAAAAAUUAAUAAUUAUGUGUACUGUGUAACAGUUAUUGUUAUAUAUUCUUAAAUGGGAGUCAGCAUAUUGUUCUAAAAAGAAAUGCUCCUAUAUACUGUUCUCGUAUUCAGUAUUAGUGUGAGAUUAAUUAAAAGUUUAAAUUGAGAGUUGAGUUGGGAGAGAAGAAAUUAAAAGGGAUGCAGGGAGUGGGGCGAGGGAGAUAGGAGGAAAAGGGAGAGGUGGCAGUGCAUUCACAUACUUAGUGCCACGAUCCACUUUAUCCAGAACAAGUGAUUGUAUUUUUACUACAACACUGUAUACUGCCAAGACCACUAAGGCGUAUAUGAGGACCUGUAGGAAUGGAAAUAUGAAGGAAAGUAAAUGUAAGGUGGCAACAUUGUAUUGUAUUACUCCGCCAGCAAGCCAGCAGAAAACGUGACUUCACAUUUGGCGCCAAGACAGAGUUGUUAGCUUGGCGACGGACCUGAGGUGAAGGACAUUGUUGUUUGAUUAGAAGAUAAUACCUGUGUGCAGUGUGUUGUGUGCAUGCAAAUUUGUAGAGCCGGUGAACUGGAGCACAAGAGAAAGCGCACAAAUGGAAAAUAUGGCAGAGUUCGUGUGUUGGUAAGGGUGUAGUAACAUCUUGGUGACAAAGGAUGAUUUACUGGAGUGGUGUUGCAGCUUGACGAAAACAGGAACAUAGAGACGAAAGGCAGAUUAUUGUUGCAGUCGAACGCAUUCCAGACAUUUAUCAAGAAGACGAGAAGUGUUGAGGAAGACCUCAUAUUCCAUAUUGCUGCGAACAACUAUGAAAGGUUAGCUUUGUUAAGAAGUGACGGUAGACUUGCAGGGAAUAUGCCAGUAACACACCUCAACACAAGUUAUCUAUCAUUUUUUUUUUCACUUAGGUACCCACAAAGUCUUCAUGUACUAGUGGCGGAGUGUUGUGUUUAAUAAUUAAUCACUCAGUAUCUUCCUGCAUUGACUUAACCCUUCCUACUUCUCGUUUGCGGCCUCUGUUAUUCUUUCCUUUACACUCUCCACCACACUCACCCCUUGCUCUACCGCCUCUCUCUUGUCCCAUCCACCGUACUUACAUGUCCUAAUCCCCCUCCAAGACGCCAAUCUUAUUUCAAAUUCUUUCGAACUCCCACCAUAGCGAAUAUGAAUACAUUACAUAUCAGUAUAACAUUUUCUACUCUGAAUAAGAUGUUCCUUCACUCGUGAGAAUGUGACACCAAUUUAUGAUGCACCCUGUACAAGAGAGGUCAUUCAUUGUCCCUGUGGCUGCCAAUAACGAUGAUAGUUGAGAGGGUGAGCAACCGAGUCUGAAGGGGAUGAAAGAGACGGAUGGGGUACUGGAAACUGUGACGAUGGGUAGGAGGUGCGGUAGGAGAUGUGAUGGUGGAGGGAGGUGCGUGAGGUUAAGGAAAAUAGGGCUAUAUAGGUGAAGGUGGGUGUGGUGAUAGUCAUGAUGAGAGAAUUGCAUACUGAUAGUCGAGUAGAUGGAGAUGGGAGUGGUGGGAGAAGGUGUGGUGGCAUUGAGUGGACUUGAGCAUCGACAGUGGGCGAGGUUGAAGAGGGUGUGGUGGUCUGGGUGAGAUGCAGGGAUGGAGAAUGAUAACAUACUGAGGUACCGAGGAAGGCAUUGGGGAAGAGACUGAAGGGGGGGGUUAAGUAUUGUAUUGCGCAAGUAUUGUAUGAAGAGGUGAAGGGGGGUAUGGUAUUGGGAAAAGAGAUGGGCACCGUGCUAAAGGUUUGAGGUGUUAUGGAAGAGUAUGUGGUAGGAAGAAUGAAGGAGGGAUUGUUGUAGGAGGUGGGGCGUGUAGCGUGGUGAUGUCAGUGGGUGGAGUGAGGCGUGGUGGUGGCAGUGGAUGGAGUGAGGCGUGGUGGUGGCAGUGGAUGAGGUGUGGGGCGUGGUGGUGGCAGUGGGUGGAGUGAGGCGUGGUGGUGGCAGUGGGUGGAGUGAGGCGUGGUGGUGGCAGUGGGUGAGGUGUGGGGCGU
This is a long non-coding RNA of Scylla paramamosain (green mud crab), 4244 nucleotides long. RefSeq lists it as uncharacterized. The transcript is spliced from 4 exons. Lineage: Eukaryota; Metazoa; Arthropoda; Malacostraca; Decapoda; Portunidae. The record is from RefSeq and is a predicted model, not a curated record.